UUCAUUUUCCCCGUCAAUCCAUUGCUUCUUCCCUCCUGUCAUCCAGUUUCAUCACCAUCGCCGGCUUCACUUGUUCUUCCUCUAGUUUUCUUUCACGACCUUCUUUCAAUAAGAUCUACUAAAAAUGGAGCAAGUUGUUGGAAAUCACUAACCACGUCGAUCUGAUCGAGUUCAAUUAGGUGUUCGCACGACGUGGAGGCCGUUCUGAAGACGCCGACUACUGCCAAGAACCAUGGUCGGACAUUUUUCUGAUAUUCGUUCUGGGGGACUUCCGACUAAGGGUUCUUCACAUGGGAUUCCAAUUAUUCCCAGGUGACAAGGGAUGAUGCAGUUGCCCAGACGUUUCAAAGAGGCUUGAAGAACCACCAUCGAGCCUGUAGAUCGAUCUAGUUCUACAAGAAAUUACAGCAUAACUCUCGUGCUUGGUAGUAUGUGGGUUGUUGUUCUGUUAGUUUCCAUUAGUUGCCCCAUUUGAUAAUCAAACUUGAAUGUACUGGAAACUCUUAUGUUGGUUUCCAUUAGUUGAAUGUACUAAAAUGAGUUUGGCGUCUUGUACUGGCAUUGAAAUGUCAUUUUUUUCUGUAUAACUUACAAUGGAUGGCAUGGACUAGUUAUCACACCUUCUUCUCAAUCAAGGAAGUAUGCAACAAUACAUG
Molecule: long non-coding RNA, 656 nt
Filed under: Linum usitatissimum (flax)
Lineage: Eukaryota; Viridiplantae; Streptophyta; Magnoliopsida; Malpighiales; Linaceae
Description: long non-coding RNA (LUSI_LNC002795)
Source: RNAcentral